This 684-nucleotide long non-coding RNA is filed under the name Homo sapiens (human). RNAcentral describes it as "HSALNT0271627". The record is from RNAcentral. Lineage: Eukaryota; Metazoa; Chordata; Mammalia; Primates; Hominidae.
UGUACAUUGUGAACUAUAUAUCCUAAAUGAAAUUGUCAACAGGCUGUAGCCUACACUUGUGCUAAUUACUGAGUUUUGGCCAAUCAAAGGUGACCAGCUGUGCAAACCAUGUUCAAAUAAGGCAAACGCCAAGCUGUAAUCAAUUUGGCUGUUUCUGUACCUCAUUUCCAUAUUAUGUACAUUACUUUCCUUUUUCUGUCCAUAAAUGUUUCACCAGGUGGCUGCACUGCGGUCCCUGAGCCUACUCUGGCUCCAGAGGCUGCCCAAUUUGCAAAUUAUUCUUUGCACAAUUAAAGUCUUAAAUUAAAUCACCUAAGGCUUUUAUUUUAACAGAUGAUGUCAGAAGUAGGAUCUGGAGUACAGUGUCUAACAACUCAAAUGAGUGCUGAGCGACCACGCGAGGUACCCACCAACCCCACUGCGUCCACUGCUUUCCCCAGGUAGCUGGGGAUCACGAGAAAUCCUAUAUUUCUGCUUGACCCUCUUGUGCUUCUGCCAUCAGAUGAGAAGCACACGCAUUAUGUAAUCCGUAGAAUCAACGUGUGUGGAUGAGAGACAUGCGGUGCUAACCAGACCCAGCCUACAGCUUAUAAUGAAGUCUAUCUCUGCUCAGUCUAGAACAGCCACACCUCAGCCAACCUCAAGACAAAUUAUCAAAAUAAAUACUUUUUGCUUUAAUUCACU